RNAcentral lists this ribosomal RNA (497 nucleotides) under uncultured bacterium. RNAcentral's name for it is "partial 16S ribosomal RNA". It matches the Rfam family "Bacterial small subunit ribosomal RNA", at positions 28 to 507 of the family's 1533-position model. The record is from RNAcentral.
GAUGAACGCUGGCGGCGUGCCUAAUACAUGCAAGUCGAGCGAACAGACGAGGAGCUUGCUCCUCUGACGUUAGCGGCGGACGGGUGAGUAACACGUGGAUAACCUACCUAUAAGACUGGGAUAACUUCGGGAAACCGGAGCUAAUACCGGAUAAUCUAUUGAACCGCAUGGUUCAAUAGUGAAAGACGGUUUUGCUGUCACUUAUAGAUGGAUCCGCGCCGCAUUAGCUAGUUGGUAAGGUAACGGCUUACCAAGGCAACGAUGCGUAGCCGACCUGAGAGAGUGAUCGGCCACACUGGAACUGAGACACGGUCCAGACGCCUACGGGAGGCAGCAGUAGGGAAUCUUCCGCAAUGGGCGAAAGCCUGACGGAGCAACGCCGCGUGAGUGAUGAAGGUCUUCGGAUCGUAAAACUCUGUUAUUAGGGAAGAACAAAUGUGUAAGUAACUAUGCACGUCUUGACGGUACCUAAUCAGAAAGCCACGGCUAACUACGUG